This 755-nucleotide ribosomal RNA is filed under the name Alteromonas sp. MED169. RNAcentral's name for it is "bacterial SSU rRNA". It matches the Rfam family "Bacterial small subunit ribosomal RNA", at positions 393 to 1142 of the family's 1533-position model. The record is from RNAcentral. Lineage: Bacteria; Pseudomonadati; Pseudomonadota; Gammaproteobacteria; Alteromonadales; Alteromonadaceae.
CAUGCCGCGUGUGUGAAGAAGGCCUUCGGGUUGUAAAGCACUUUCAGUUGUGAGGAAAAGUUAGUAGUUAAUACCUGCUAGCCGUGACGUUAACAACAGAAGAAGCACCGGCUAACUCCGUGCCAGCAGCCGCGGUAAUACGGAGGGUGCGAGCGUUAAUCGGAAUUACUGGGCGUAAAGCGCACGCAGGCGGUUUGUUAAGCUAGAUGUGAAAGCCCCGGGCUCAACCUGGGAUAGUCAUUUAGAACUGGCAGACUAGAGUCUUGGAGAGGGGAGUGGAAUUCCAGGUGUAGCGGUGAAAUGCGUAGAUAUCUGGAGGAACAUCAGUGGCGAAGGCGACUCCCUGGCCAAAGACUGACGCUCAUGUGCGAAAGUGUGGGUAGCGAACAGGAUUAGAUACCCUGGUAGUCCACACCGUAAACGCUGUCUACUAGCUGUUUGUGACUUUAAGUCGUGAGUAGCGAAGCUAACGCGCUAAGUAGACCGCCUGGGGAGUACGGCCGCAAGGUUAAAACUCAAAUGAAUUGACGGGGGCCCGCACAAGCGGUGGAGCAUGUGGUUUAAUUCGAUGCAACGCGAAGAACCUUACCUACACUUGACAUGCUGAGAACUUUCUAGAGAUAGAUUGGUGCCUUCGGGAACUCAGACACAGGUGCUGCAUGGCUGUCGUCAGCUCGUGUCGUGAGAUGUUGGGUUAAGUCCCGCAACGAGCGCAACCCUUGUCCUUAGUUGCCAGCCUUAAGUUGGGCACUCUA